CUGAGGUACCCAAAAUUAGGCCAUUGUUGUAAAUUGAGGCCUUUCCGCCUUGCCCGUUAACAACAGUCGGUGGGCUAAGGCUCAUUGGAAGUCACUGUUUAGACUUGAUCACGGCUGACGUAGUCCUGGUCAUAAGCAGAAGCCUGGCAGUGAAAGGUCCUGAUUCCAUCCCCAGCCUCCAGAGGCAGAUGGUCCCCCAGGGAUGGAACAACCCUGGGGAAUAUUUUACACUCACAGUCUUUCCCACGGGCUGGGUAAUUCCACAGUCUCAUUCACAGGGCUGAGAACCUCAGGGUUAAGUUGCACAAAGUGAAACUAACUGAAAUGUGCCCCCUGCGCUGCACGCUGUGCUGUGCUGCCCUGGGGAGAUGUGGCUUUAAGCUGCUGUCCCAGCCCCUUCCCACUCUCAAGAAGGACUGGGCCAAAAGAGAUCUGAUGAGGUUCAACAAGCGUAAGGAUUUUUAUCUCUCUAGGCCGAUCUGAUCAGAAGAUCUCGGGGAGCCUUACAGUUUAUCUCCCGCUGAGUCCCCCUUUUAAGGCCAUCUAUCAGAGCUGACUUUAAUGAACUCCACACACACAAAGCUAUAAAAUAAAACAACAACACUUUAUUUGCUAAGGGGAGAGGAAGGAAUGGAAAGGGGAAUGGAUUAAUGAUUCUGGAGAUUCGGAAUAACACACAGGCACUUAUAAUACAAGAUGUUCUAUCUUUACAGACAUCAGCGAUAAAGGGGUGCAGGAUCCAGAAAAGAGAAGCCAGUAGUGAACACUGACCGUGGACAACAGAUGAAACAGACAGACGAACUAUUGCAAGAAGGUGUGGAUACAACAGUACAUUGAGAGCCGAGAAGGAAGGACUGUGCUGGAGUACUAAUUCUGAACAUGGCACUAGGUCUUUCAUGAACCCAAGGAGCUGAUAUAUUUCCAGAAACCCACCCCAUGGUACAUGCUCAGAUGGGAAGGGCUUGAACCACCCAACUAGAAGCAGAACACAGACAGAUGUUUUCCUCAGGUGCUACCCCAGACGAUACUGCCAGGACCGCAAUUCAUUGUGCAGCUUGUGCUGACGGCGGCCUCACCGUACCCUGCACCACUUGCUGUGUCCCCUCCUGGAUUGCAGCAAACCCUGCAACAGGAUGCCCUUCGUGGUGACAAGCACUCCCAUCAACUGCCCAGAGUGUUAACCCUUUUCCUUGUACUUCUUCCCAGGAUGUUGCUAAGAAGAAUGGAGAUAGUAAGUCUAAAUCAGGAUCUGGCAACGGACAUUCGUGCUCAUCUCCUGCGGUAAUCGGAGCAUAGGGAAGGAUUCUCGUAUGGGGGGGAUCUUCUCAGUACGAAUAUCCCGAUUGACCAGACUUAGAGUCCAUCCCGCC
Mauremys reevesii (Reeves's turtle) is the source of this 1370-nucleotide long non-coding RNA. RefSeq lists it as uncharacterized. The transcript has 3 exons. The record is from RefSeq and is a predicted model, not a curated record. Lineage: Eukaryota; Metazoa; Chordata; Testudines; Geoemydidae.